UUAAAAAUGCAAAGCCUAAAUUAUUAGUAGUUAAGUUCUUGAAAAUUAAUGAAGAUGGCGGUAUUUUAGUCUAUUCAGAGGAAUCUGCCCUGUGAUUGAUAUUCCACGAUUUAAAUUACUCAGAUUUUUAGCUUGCAUAUCGCUGUAGGUUGAAUAUUUUUAUUGAAUUUUAAUAUUCAUGAUUUUUAAUGAAAGUAAAUCAAGUCAAGAUGUAGCUUAUAUCUGAGCAGAGGUGGAUUACAUUAUUUAUAUAUGUGGUUAGUUUCUUGAAAAGGUUACUAUAAAAUGGAUUUGAAGGUAAUUUUUUACUAAAAUUUGAAAAAUGAUUUUAGCUCUAAAAU
Molecule: ribosomal RNA, 341 nt
Filed under: Xyleborus pfeili
Lineage: Eukaryota; Metazoa; Arthropoda; Insecta; Coleoptera; Curculionidae
Description: partial 12S ribosomal RNA
Source: RNAcentral